RNAcentral lists this long non-coding RNA (6826 nucleotides) under Arabidopsis lyrata. RNAcentral's name for it is "long non-coding RNA (ALYR_LNC000117)". The record is from RNAcentral. Lineage: Eukaryota; Viridiplantae; Streptophyta; Magnoliopsida; Brassicales; Brassicaceae.
AAUGAUGAUGAUUAUGCCCUAGAAAUCGCUGAAAGCAUGCCAGAACUACGCCACCUCCACCUUUAUGGGAACAACCUAAGUGACACACGCUUGUAUGCCAUUCUUGAUGGUUGUCCUCACCUGGAACGAGUGUUUACAAACGUGCUUCCAGCUUAAACUUGUCGGAGAUUUGGAAGAUGUUUUGAGAGGAUCAAAUACUUUAGACACAUCAAAUCAUGACUCAACCUUUGAUCACCCAUUUGAUAUCACUUUUGUCAAUGACUUGGACAACAUUGAGGUUUACUAUGACUUUUAUCGGGACUAGAUAUUAUAUAUCUCUUUGAACACAAGUUGCUUUUUAUGGUCAUGUCAGUAUGUCACAUUAUGAACUUGUUCAUGUCUCCUCUAGUCCUCUUUUCUCUAUGUUGGUUUGGUAGUGUUUCAAAGUCCCUUAUUUUCUUUGUACAUUUUAAGUUUGUAGUGCGUGAUUGUAACUCGCGUACGAUGCAGAAAUUGUUUCUUAAGAAAAUGUUUUCACAAAACACACUUUUUAAAGUGUUUCUUCUGACUUUUGGACAAAAUCAAAAUGAGUUCUCAUGGAUUUGCCAAAUAGUAUAUUAUUUUGACCAAAAUACAUUUUUAACUAAAUGAACACAACUAUUCUCUCAUUUUCUUCUAGCUAUCUUCCCCACAAAAAGAGAACAAAUAUAAAAUUUAUGAAGAUAAAAUAGUAAUAAUAAAAAGAAUUUUUUUGGCUUAGAGCCUAAGCCAAAAAAAUAAAAGAACUAAAAUAAAUCAGUUUCUUAAUUUAUUCUGUUUUCUUCUCUCACUUUCUUUCAUUGUUCUGAUUGACAUUGAAAGAAAGUGAGAGAAAAAAAAAUUGAUACUGAUUCUGAAACAAUUUUGUUUGAAAUUGAAACUGCCUCUAAGUAGGAAUUUUGAUAGUAUAAUAAAAUGUGCCUUGCCUUCCAUGAAUUUAAAUAAUGGUUGAAAACUAGUUUAUGUUAUCGUAAAAAAACAAUUAGAAAAAACCUUUGUCAUGGUUAAUGAAAAGAAUUAGUAGGUUAAUUAGCAGAAGAAGAUCAUUUGUUCAUAGAACUCUUGUACAAGACUGGCCUACAAAAUUGCAUCAUGACUUCAAAACAGACACUGAAAUCAACACGCGUUCCAACAAGUUCAAAAUGAUUUCAAAAGAAUUUUCUUCAUAGUUGAUACUUGAUAGCAUGCCCAAACUCGCUUGUUUUGUCUAUGAUGUGGUUUUUGUUGGUCUUGUCAAUUUAUGAACUAGUUCAUAUCUCCUCUUUUCUCUAUGUUGGUAGUUUCAAAUUCCUCAUUUCCUUAUGAUUUUUAAGAACUUUAUCCAACUUCUUACUAACUAAAUCCUCCUCUCGCUUGUUACUCCACGUGAAUAGCGGACUAUGAGUCCUCAUAUCCACUAAAGAACAAUACCGCCCACACCACUUCUUGGAAAUCUUGCAUGCCCGAAGUAACCAGAAGAGAGAAGAAUCGGAUCGUGUUCUUCAAAGUCAAGCGUCUCAUUGAACUCGCCUAGAAUAAUUCACGGUUUGCCCCGAAACGAUGAAUACAAUUUAUUCAUUUAACUAACCAUAUUUUUUAUUUAUUGGUUAUUUAAUUAUAUCAAAGUUAACAUAUUUUUUAAAAAUAUAAUUGAUGAUAAAGCAUUAACAAAACCGAACCUAAUUCUUUUAAAUCUAUAUUUUGUUGGAUAAGUUUGAUUUUUUUCCUGCUAGAUAGAUUACUAUAUAAAACUUUAUUUGGUAGAAAAUCUUAACAUUAAAACAAAAACAAAAAAUCAAACGGAAUUAUUAUUUUUACUUAAAUAGAAACGAGUAAAAAAAAAUAACGAGUCCAAGAUUGUUCAUGACGAUAUCAUUGAGGUGGUGGCAAAAGUGUUUAUGAGCGCGUGUAUUUACUUAGGCCUUAGAAAAUCAAGCAAACAUUAGCGCGUGAUUGUUAUCUGCGAUAUAUGCGGCUGGUCUUGCUUGAUUCUUCAGGAGUAUUUAGACCUAAUUAGACGUGGCAUGAAUCGUACCGUAGACACAUAAUACUACGAUGACCAAAUGUCCGAAACAAUACACUUCACUUCUUAUUCACUAAUUUGACCUAAUCUUAUCCUCAAAAACGACAGCCUCCUCUUUUUCAGAAAAGAAAAUGACAGCCUCCUCUUUUUGAGAAGAGAAAAUGACAACCUCCACUACGUUGCUGUCGUUGUUCAUGAAAGAAGAUGAAGAGCAAAGAAAAGAGCAACGAAACUGGUUGGAUCUUCCGCCGGAGUUGACGACUUCGAUCUUGCUCCGACUUAGCGUGACUGAUAUACUGUUUAACGCUCAGAAGGUGUGCAGACAAUGGCGACGCGUCUGUAAAGACCCUUCGAUGUGGCAGAAAAUCAACUUGCGAGACUGCCUAUUCUAUCGGUUCGAUUUCGAGGGCAUGUGUCGUCACAUUGUUGAUCUCAGCCAGGGUGGCUUGCUAGAGAUCAACAUUGGACACUUCGUGAGCGAUUCUCUCCUCAGCUACAUCGCCGAUAGGUUCUCUCUCUCUCUUCUCUCUAUUCCUUUCGCAAGCUACGUUUGAACUGUUUUUCAUGGAAAUCUCCAAAUGCUGUUUAGAGAAAUUAUGGAUUUUAUUUGAUUUCACUGAUCUGUGAAUUAGACACAAAAUGUCCCAGUAUAAGAAAUCUCUGAUAUGUGUUUGUUCCUUUUUCUCCUGAGGAUUAAUUAGGGCAAAAUUUUGAUAACUUAUAAUCGUUUUUUUUUUUUGUUAAUCAUGUGUUAAUUAAACUCAGUUUAUCAUGUCUUUUUAAUUUCCUUUUACCUGAUCUGGUGAUCUGCAAUGAAUGGACUUUGGAUAUUCAUUUACUCAAAGUUUUCUUUUAGGUACUCUACCUUUGGGGUUUGACAUGCACGGAUAUGAAGGCUAAUUUUGAUGCCUUAAUAGUCUUUUAGAGUAAAUGGUUUCGAUUCUCAUGCGGUCAUGCCUUAUCUAAUAGUGUUUUAGAGUAAAUGCCUUAAUAAUGGUUUAGAUAUAAAGGCUAAUUGCUAUGCUAUGACGCUGUUAGAAAUUUAUAAUAGUCCUUUAAUUGUUCUCACAUUGUUCAAGUCUUGUUUCGUUUCACACCGUUAUUAUCAUCAUAUAUCACUUUACUUGUCAUGGUUAAAGAAAACAAGUAGUAAUCAGGUUAUUAGCAUAUAUCAUUAGCUUGUAGAACUCUUAUGAUAGACCACUUACUUAAAGCAUCAUUGUUAAUUUUCAUGCCUUAAAAGUAUUUUAGGGUAAACGGUUUUGAUUUUCAUGCCUUAAUAGUGUAUUAGAGUAAAUGCCUUAAUUUUUAGAUAUAUAUGAAGGCUAUUUCCAUGCUAUGACGCUGUCCAAUCUCACAUUGUUCGAUCGAGUCUUGUUUUGUUUCACUGUUAUUACUCUAUCAUCAUAUAUAACUAUACUUUACUUGUCAUGGUUAAGGAAAACAAGUAGUUAGGUUAUUAGCAUAUAUAUAUAAGAACAUCAUUAGCUUAUAGAACUCUUAUGGUUUCGUUUUUUUUAUAACCUAUUGUUGUUAAUCUUCUUCCUAGUUUAUGAUUUAACUCUUCACGUAAUUAUUUGCAGAUCAAGUAAUCUGAAAAGUCUUGGACUUUCAAUCUAUGAACAAAUGACGAACGAAGGAGUUAUGAAGGGAAUUGCAAAAUUUCCAUGGCUUGAAACCCUCGAGGUCUUCCAUUCAUCGUUUAAAUUGGAUUUGAAGGCUAUAGGCCACGCUUGCCCACAUCUAAAGACAUUGAAGCUAAACUUCUCAGGCUGCCCAGGGCAUGAAAUUUAUCUUAUAAGUCAGUUAGAUUUCAUUCCCCCUCCCGUCGAAUGUGAUGAUGAUGCCCUAGCAAUCGCUGAAAGCAUGCCGAAACUACGCCACCUCCAGCUUAUUUGGAACGGACUGACCAACACUGGCUUGAAUGUCAUUCUCGACGGUUGUCCUCACCUGGAAGACCUUGAUGUGCGCAAGUGUUUCAACAUUAAACUUGUCGGGAAUCUUGAGAAGCGAUGUUUGGAGAGGAUCAAAGAGUUGAGACGCCCCGGUGACUCAACCGCCGAUUACCCAUAUAAUAUCGGUGUGUCGACAACUGUGCUUCAGAUCAUGAUUAAAUGUGGAUUCAUUCCGAGACACAGGGUUGCUUGUUGAUGGUCUUGUCAACUUAUGAACUCGUUUAUGUCUCUUCUUUUCUCUAUGAUGCCAGUGACUAUUAUUGGUAUUAGAUACUGAAUCUUUCUGAACAAUGCAGAGAACAUGUGGUUUUUGUUGGUUUUGUCAACUUAUGAACUUGUUCAUGUCUCCUCUUUUUUUUUCUCUAUGUUGGUAGUUCUUAUUUCCUUCUAAACUUUUUAAGCUUUGAGCGCGUGACUGUUGCUCGCGAAAACGAUGCAAUGGUUUUUGAUUUUUCAUAGGUGUGUAGAUCGUGGCGCGGAGUCUUUAAAGACCCUUGGAUGUGGCGGAGCAUUGACUUAAGAAACCGCAGAAGCUCGGCAAAAAUGAAGCAGAAGCUCGAUAUCAUGUGCCGUCACGUUGUUGAUCGGAGCCAGGGAGGCUUGGCUGAGAUCAAAAUUUGGAACUAUGGUUCUAAUGGUCUCCUCAAUUACAUAGCCGAUAGGUUCCACAUCUCUCUCUUCUUCCAUAUGACUCACACGCACGCAAGUUUUGGUUUUCUUAAAGUGCUUUUGAUUUCACUCGUUCAAUGUGACGAGAGUGAUUGAGAAUUGAGGAAAAUUUUGUUUGCUUAUGACUUUGUUUGGAGGAUUUUGUUAUCUAAAUCUCGAAUCUCUGAUAAAAUGCACUUCUUCACGUUGAGUGGUUUUGUUAACGAAAACUUUUAAAGUUAAAUUUUAUUGGGCAAGUUUAAACUUGUUCUUUCUAGUAAUUUAAUUUAAUAUGUAAACUUUUAUUUGGUAUAAAAUCUUAGCAUUGAAACCUAAAAACAAAUCAAAUCGAAUUAUACUUUUACUUAAAUAGAAACGAAUAAAAAAAACAUUAGCGCGUGAGUGUAUUUGCCUAAUUAUACGUGGCAUGGAUUGUACCGUAUACUACGACGACCAAAUAUUUGACUUGGGGACGGAAGCACAAAGGUAGACAUCACUUCUUUUAUACACAGAUUUGACCUAAUUUUACCCACAAAAAUGACAACCUCCGCUUUUUCAGAAAAGAAAAUGAAAACCUCCUCUCCGUCGCCGAUGAAAGACGAAGAGCCAAGAAACUGGGCGGAUCUUCCGUCGGAGUUGACGUCUUUGAUCCUGAUCCGUCUUAGCGUGGCUGAUAUUCUGGACAACGCUCAGAAGGUGUGCAGACCGUGGCGACGCGUCUGUAAAGAACCUUCGAUGUGGCGGAAAAUCGACAUGAGAAGCCUGAUCAGAGAUAGGGGAAUGCUCGACCCCUUAGCUAUCAUGUGCCGUCACGCCGUGGAUCGCAGCGAGGGUGGUUUGGUCAAAAUCCACCUUGGGAACUUCGUCAACGAUGAUCUUCUCGACUACAUCGCUGAUAGGUUACCUAUCUUCUCUCUAUCUCUUACCACUCGCUAUGUUUGUUUCAUGGGAAUCUCUCCAAUUUUUUAGAGAAAUUGAUGGCUUUAGACAAAUAAAUAUGUGUCGGUAUAUAUUUUGAGUAUCUGAAAAUGUGUUUGUUCCUUUUUUUUCGUGAGGAUUAGGGCAAAACUUUGUUCAUUAAUUAUAAGAGAUCCCCAUUUAAUUAUAAUCGUUGAUUUUUAUUUUUAUUUUGUUUAUCACUCGUGUUAAUGAAACUCCACUUAUCUUGUCUUUUUAUUCCCUGUUACUGGAUUUGCUAUGAAUGCACUUUGGAUAUUCAGUUACUCUUACUCGAGAAUGUAUGUCUUGCAACUUAAAGUUUUCUUCUAAUGUACUCUACGUCUGGUAUGAAUGCACUCAUGUUUGCAACUCAAUGUUCAUGCCUUUAUAAUGUUUUAGGAGUCAAAAAAAAAAUCAGUUUUAUUUUGGAGUCACUGGUUAUAUGAUGAUGUUAUGAUAGUCCUUAGUUCUCACAUUGUUCGAUCGAGUCUUGUUUUGUUUCACAUCGUUAAUUACUGUCAUAUCAUACAUAAUUACUUGUCCUUUGUCAUGGCUAAUAAUGAUAACAAGUUGUUAGGUUAUUAGCAUUAUAAGAAGGCUAUUAGCGUUAUACAAUUCUUAUCAUAGACUUGCUUAGUUGCUUAAAGCAUCUUUAAAGUUUGAUCUUUUAGGUCCAAAUUGAAACAAAUGGUUUGCUCUUCUGUGCUGUUCUUAUUUACAUGCUUCUGAGUUGAUUAGUACUAUGAGAAUUUCUUAUGUUUUUUUUUUUUAAGAACGUAUUGUUGUUCUUCUUAUCGUUUAUGAUUUAACUCGACACGCUAUUAUAUAUUUGUAGAUCAAGGAAUCUGAGAAGUCUUGGACUUGGAAUGUGCUUUCCAAGGGUGACGAGGCCAGGACUUAUGAAUGCAAUCACAAAACUUCCAUUACUUGAAACCCUCGAGGUCUCACACUCAUGUUUAAACCUGAGUUUGGAAGAUAUAGGCCACGCUUGCCCACAGCUAAAGACAUUGAAGUUAAACUCCUCAGGGGGUUUCUGGAACUCUCGCAAUGAUGAUGAUUAUGCCCUAGAAAUCGCUAAAAGCAUGCCAGAACUACGCCACCUCCACCUUUAUGCGAAUAACCUAAGUGACACACGCUUGAAUGCCAUUCUUGACGGUUGUCCUCACCUGGAACGAUUGAUUACAGAUGUGUUGCAAGCUUAACCUUGUCGGAGAUUUGGAGAAGCGAUGUUUUGAGAGGUUCAAAUACUUUGGACACACCAAAU